GUUCAAGUUAAUGAAGCUGUGAAACAGGUGAGAGUGGUACAUACCGUGGGAAUAAAUGGAAUUCCCUGUGAUUAUGUUGGCUGCAGCAUGGUUUUCAGGGCUCCCAAAUAGCACAAGUACAAUGGAUGCCCACGGCUGCGUUCAGCUGCAGCGGCUGGCACGCUGAGGGACUGGGCACCAGAGGAAACAUCUCAAGUGGAAAAAUGUCACUGCUGAGGGAAGUAGUCUCUUUUAAUCUUUUUAAAAGCCUGGGAGACCUUGCUCGUGAGACCAGCAUGCAACACCAGGGGAAAGGGAAGCUGAAACAAUGGGAGGUCACCAGACAAAGAACAGGAAGAGGCUUGGAAGGAAUUUAUGGUCUUGAUUCUAAGAUGCACAUUUUUAUUUCAUGUUUCAAUACUGCAGAUGUUGAGAAGUAUCUCACAAUUGCUA
Long non-coding RNA from Lemur catta (Ring-tailed lemur), 432 nucleotides. RefSeq lists it as uncharacterized. The transcript has 3 exons. Lineage: Eukaryota; Metazoa; Chordata; Mammalia; Primates; Lemuridae. The record is from RefSeq and is a predicted model, not a curated record.